CUUUAAUGCCUUGGUGCCAGACAUUUGUUUGUAUCAAAUGGGAUUUUCCAUAGAACAAGUGAAGUAAAGUCUCCAAAUUCUGUGAGAUAUGGCUACAUCAUGCAUGCUAUAUCAGGUAUUUUCAAUAUCUUCACCUCCAAAAUCCCACUGGGACAAGAAAUAGAGAUGCCAGAAUAUCACAAGGAAUAUUGCAGAGUAAUCUUGCUCCAAUUGGACAUGGGAGCUACAGGCAAGCACAGAAAUAAUCAGCCCAGCUUUGGUGCCUUUUGCAAUGUAAGUUGCUUUCCCUGUUGGUUGGCUGUGCCUGUUUCAGGGUAA
Molecule: long non-coding RNA, 318 nt
Filed under: Crocodylus porosus (Australian saltwater crocodile)
Lineage: Eukaryota; Metazoa; Chordata; Crocodylia; Crocodylidae
Description: lncRNA (ENSCPRG00005004287.1)
Source: RNAcentral